This 192-nucleotide unclassified non-coding RNA is filed under the name uncultured Herpotrichiellaceae. RNAcentral's name for it is "sequence contains ITS1". The record is from RNAcentral. Lineage: Eukaryota; Fungi; Ascomycota; Eurotiomycetes; Chaetothyriales; Herpotrichiellaceae.
CCGAGUUAGGGUCCUCUGGGCCCGACCUCCCACCCUUUGUCUACCUUACCUUUUGUUGCUUCGGCGGGCCCGUCCCCCCUGCAAAGGGGGCGACCGCCGGAGGGUUCACGCCCUCUUGGCCCGCGCCCGCCGGUGGCCCUUAACCAAAACUCUUGUCGAACCGUGUCGUCUGAGUGAAGAAAUAAUAACCAA